This is a long non-coding RNA of Scleropages formosus (Asian bonytongue), 1551 nucleotides long. Lineage: Eukaryota; Metazoa; Chordata; Actinopteri; Osteoglossiformes; Osteoglossidae. The record is from Ensembl.
AGCCUCAUGAGCAAACACGCCCCCCGCCCGAGUAUUUCUGCAGAUCUUCACUGAGUACAGCUAAAGUCAAUCAAAAGUUUGAGGACACUUCCUGGAAACAAAUCCUUCUUCACAUUAGGUCGGCAAUGAAAUGUGUGUCCAGCUCAACAUCUGUCCCCAGCACUUCUGCAGCAAUUCGUACAAAUUUAGGAUACUUGUGGAGUGCUUUGCUUUUACUUUUCUGUUCAGCUUGUCCCAUACAAGCAGUACCCAGGCUGCCUGAACAGAGCUGUAAGUUUUUACAGUCAUUCAGCUGACAAUUUUCUCCAAAGCAACUUACAGCGUUAAGACUACAAUUAUUUAGACAGCUGGGUAAUUUUACUGGAACAAUUUAAAGUAAGUACUUUGUUCAAGGGGGUGCGGUGGCGCAGUGGGUUGGACCACAGCCCUGCUGUCCAGUGGGUCUGGGGUUCGAGUCCUGCUUGGCGUACCUUGCGACGGACUGGCGUCCCGUCCCCCUCCCCCUCCGGCCUUACACCCUGUGUUGCCGGGUAGGCUCCGGUUCCCCGCGACCCCGUAUGGGACAAGCGGUUCUGAAAAUGUGUGUGUACUUUGUUCAAUGGUAUUACAGCCAGGGGCAGGGAUCCAACCUGUGGGACCAAAGGCAGUAGUACUAACCACCACAGUAUGUACUGCCAGGUGUCCCAAGCUGCCCCAACUUUUAGUGUCCCACUGACUGAGCAGCUCUUCAGCUCUGGAUCAUGUCCGUCCUGGUCAACGGGCUGCUUCACCGGUUCAGCCCACCUGUCCGGUUCCUCUUCCUCGGUGCUCCUCCAGCCUGCUCACUGGCUGACUCCACCUUACCAUACGUGACCCUGAAAGCGUGGAGAAGGAAAAAAAGGGAAGCGUUGCUGCUGGCAGUGAAAGGGUUACGGAGAGAGAGAAACUGAGAGGUGUUCAUGUACUGCUGCCGCCACUGCUGCUGGACGCGGCGUCUCUGUCGCCAAGCAGCGCUGCGCUUUCGCAGAGCGCUCACCCUUCGCUCUUCGCACUUUUUCAGCCCCUUGGUGCUCGGACUCUUGUUUUUUUUUUUUUCUUCUUUUUUCUUUUUUUUUUGUGAAGAAACGGGAGGAAUUCGCCUUGAGUAUCGACGCCGGGGUCCGGGGACGGACAGGGACAGAUAGAGAGCGAGAGAGAGAGAGAGAGAGCCCGUCCAGGGAGGGAGCAGCGCAACUCGCAUCGCCGGGGCUGAGCCGCGAGAGGGGGGCGCCAGCGGAGGAGAGCGCCCUGAGGAGCCUCUGCCGCCCUCGGACGGAGCAAGCAUGCAGCCCGGGAGACCGGCGACCGCAGGGCAGCACGGCACCGAGGCGUCCACGUCACCUGGGAGCCGGCCGGACCUGUGGGCUCCGUGGGCACAUCACGCGCUCGCGUGAAGGACAGCGGGGAAGAGGGACGCGUCCACUAUGUUCCGAGGGUGUGCUGUACAGAGGGUCAAAGGCUCCGCUGACAAGCAGGUAAAGAGGGACUGACACCGGUUCCCGCACUUCUUUUUUUAUCUUAAUUUUUCUCAUG